Chelonia mydas (Green sea turtle) is the source of this 2537-nucleotide long non-coding RNA. RefSeq lists it as uncharacterized. The transcript is spliced from 3 exons. The record is from RefSeq and is a predicted model, not a curated record. Lineage: Eukaryota; Metazoa; Chordata; Testudines; Cheloniidae.
CUGAUCUUCCUGAACUAGUGCAGGCAGGCAGUUAUUUGGUGGCUAGAGCAAGAACUGAAAGUCAAGUGACUCCUGACUCUGAAAAGGAACCUCUCUGUGGCCAUGAUGUCACCAUCUGUUUACUCAUCUGUAAAAGAGGGAUACUGCUACUUAUUUUUGUAACAAGCUUUUUGGGAUCCUCUGAAAGGGAUGGGCUAGGAAGUGUGGAGGACACACAGCUAGGCUCAAGCUAUUAGGCCCAGACGCUGGUAUAAAAGGAAAUGGAAACAGACGGUAGGAGAUGUAACAGGAUCAAGGAAGGAGAAAAUGGUGAUUGGGUCGGACAAGAACUAAAAGGAGCAAGAACUUUUACUGAACAUUGAUGGAGAGUAAGGCACAGAAAGAUCAAGUGACUUGCCCAAGAUCACACAGGAAGUCCGUAAAACUGAGCCAGGAGUUGAACCCAGAUCACCCUUCUUCUCUGCAAUGUGGAAAGCUGCCAUCUUAAAAUUCUUCUUGUCCAUGAGCUCCUGCAAAAAAAUACCCUUCCUUCCCGCUGCACAAGACCAAGGCUGUUUUUUUGCUACUAUAUGCAUCUUUGAGCCACAUGUCAAUACAAGAAAGUUGACACGGCUGUAAUGUAGGAACUUUUGCUAUAGUUGUUCAGGCUAAGUAAGAGAUUCCUUUUUAUGUCUUUCAUCUUACUGAAUGUGUUCCAACCUCGUUUUACUGAACUUAAAAUUCUUUCCACAUGUUUUCAAUUUGACCUGAGAAAGGUCCAAGAUGCAUGUAGCAGUAUUCUUCUAGUUCUUUAAUGCUAUGCCUCUGUAUACUAAUUUGGUUUAGUUAUGUGACUAUUGGGCCUGUUUUAGCUUUCCUUAAAUUUCAUCUGAGGCAUGCAUUCUGGCUUUUGUAGUUCAGGUUCUAUGCCAGGUCUUAACCAUUGUGUAUUGUUUGUGACUAGAAUUAUAAGCAUAAACAUACUCUAAAUCUCACUUUUAAAGACUCUUCAUCUUUGCCAAAUCCAGUCUAUAGAACAUGGUCUCUAGAUGGUUUAAAUCAUGAAGACCUCUGAUAGAACAGUAACUCCCUGUGCUCUUUUUACUCUAGUCAAGCAUGAGAUAUGGCAAAUCAAUGUCAUACAAUUCACUUGACCACAAAUUGCAAGAAAACACAAAAAUAGAAAGUUCUUUAUAUGUUAUGUGAGCUUUUACUUUAAACAAAGAUUAAAAAGGAGACUUUUAGAGCUACCAUUUACAGGUGUGAACUAAAGAUCGAAAGGUAAAAUCUUGGUCCUGUUGAAGUCAAUGGCAAAACUCCCAUUGGCUUCAGAAGGAUUUCACACCAAGGUUCCUGAUUCUGUUCUGUCCUGAGUGCUGAAGGAUUUCACUCCACUGAGUGCAGCUCUGCAAACACUACAUACACCAAGACCUCACCUAUGCCAGUCCUCAGAAAGGAAUUAGAAGAAGUGACAUUUUAGUCUUGUCAGCUCUAACAGUACACCAAUAAAUAAAGAUUGGUUUGCUAUUUGAUAAGAAUGCUCAAUCAAGUUUACUACAAAUAAGGUUAAAAAUAAGAUACAAUACCAGCUGGUGGAAUUCGGCAUCUCUAGGUGUCAGAUAUGGAAGCCAACUCUCUCCAAGUUCUUCAAGAAGCUUUUGUUUCUGUUUUAAAAAAAAAAAAAAAGGUAUGACAUGAAAUUAGUCAAAGAAGCAAACAGCAGUUAAAUAAUAAACUAGUUGCAUUAGGAAUUUAAAAAAUGUAAAAAGUUAGUAUUGUUUCACUAGCCAAAAUUUAAGAAAACACAUCUUAAACAAGGAGAAGUACAUGCAACCUCAUCUUAAUUGAGGUUUGUCCACUUAAUUGAAUUUCCCCAAUUUCAGUUUAGUAAUUUCAGAGGAUUAAGUACAGUACUUUUUGGUAUCCUCAGUUCUUCCUUAGGAGAACCUCCCUUACACACUGAAAAAGUACACUCAUCCUUCAGGAUUCUGCAGAACUUUGCCUGAUUUAAAUGCUGGAUCUUGUUUAUUUCUUUGCUUUUCUUUGUUUUCUCCUUCAAAUUCUAGGUGUAGUGGGUGUAAAGCCUAGUGUACCCCAGGGUGUGGUUUAAUAACAUACUCAAAACAAAAUUCAGGAUUGUUUAAGACUAUGUGUGUCAUAUAGUGUCUGUUUAUUCCAGCCAACCAGAAAAGAAAAUGAAACUUCGUCCUCUUUACCUUGUCUCCAAUCCAAUCUUCCAACCUGACUUCAAUGUGGACCAGGAAAUAUGCCUGCCCAAGGAAAUAACAACUCCAAUCUGAAGCUAAUAGUCAUCCACCACCUGACUGUAAAGAAGAGCUUCCCCUCCUUUUUCCAUCUCAUGUUUUUUCUUUUAUCUUUCUUUUUUUCUGAGUGGCUGGGGCAAUUAAUUUGACAGAACUAACAGCUUUCUGAGUAAAAUGAGAAUGUUUUGGUUGUAAUCCACUUAAUAGUCCUAUCUUUUAAGAAAACGAUUAAGAAAAGCAGGUCUGUAACCCAUAAUUUUCCUUCACGUGUGUCUUAAUAAAAUAGAUAGCUGA